AGCUCCAAUAGCGUAUAUUAAAGUUGCUGCAGUUAAAAAGCUCGUAGUUGGAUUUGUGGCGCGGCCGUCCGGCGGGGGUCCUUCUAUGGUCUCGUUUGUCCUGGUUUUCGGCCGCCCCUUUCUCGGGUAGAGCGUAAUGGCUGGCAUUAGGUUGUCGGCCGCUUCGCGCCCGUCGUUUACUGUGAAAAAAUUAGAGUGCUUCAGGCAGGCAAUCGCUUGAAUACUCCAGCAUGGAAUAAUGGAAUAGGACUUUGGCCUAUUUGUUGGUUUGAGGUCAGAGUAAUGAUUAAUAGGGACAGUUGGGGGCAUUCGUAUUUAAUUGUCAGAGGUGAAAUUCUUGGAUUUAUUAAAGACGAACUUAUGCGAAAGCAUUUGCCAAGGAUGUUUUCAUUAAUCAAGA
This 400-nucleotide ribosomal RNA is filed under the name phytoplankton environmental sample. RNAcentral's name for it is "partial small subunit ribosomal RNA". It matches the Rfam family "Eukaryotic small subunit ribosomal RNA", at positions 587 to 982 of the family's 1831-position model. The record is from RNAcentral.